Molecule: long non-coding RNA, 2278 nt
Organism: Papaver somniferum (opium poppy)
Lineage: Eukaryota; Viridiplantae; Streptophyta; Magnoliopsida; Ranunculales; Papaveraceae
Exons: 2
Source: RefSeq, a predicted model, not a curated record
AUUCACUUGGAACAACAAGAAAGUUGGUGCUGCUAAUAUCAAGGAGAGAAUUGAUAGAUCUAUGACAUAUUUGGCUACUAGAACAAGUUCCACAAACCCAGAAAGUAAUAACAAUUCCGAUCAUCACGAGAAUAAAUGGCUAAAUAGAAGCAAAACAACGUUUCCAACAAACAUGUUACUUCUCAAUGCACCAACGGAGUCGAAGUUUAAUUGGUCUGUGGGCUAGCAAGCCAACAGUUCAUGUCCCCACUACCAAAUCCACCUGCUUGGAUACAUAUGCCAUAAAGACGGACAGGGUUUAUUUAGUACACCAAAACAAAGAAAUGUGUUUGCCAAACACGUGAGCUGCUAAGAGAAAAGUGGAUAUGGCCAACUCCCCGCCAUAUGUCAGAAGGCACACUUCGUCCGUUGUCUUAUUUCUCAUCAAUAAUAUCAAUGUUCGAGCUGGUGGUUCUCUAAAAGAAAAAGGGUUUCAAGCAGCUGACAUUAUUCACUCGCAACCAAGUCUUCGUCAUCAUCUGUAAGCGAAGACAGUUUUGGAUAUUCAUGGAAGAUACUGUUGGGGGUUUGCUGUGUUCGAAUUUGGGUUGUUGUUGGACAAUAAAGUGACGAAGAAAGCUGUUAGAUGAAUUGGUUUCAUGGCUGUAAAUGAUGGGUUUGUGCUGAAACUUCGAUUGUGCAGGAAACGGUGAACUGGUGUUGCUGGCGACGAUUUCUGUAGUUGGUUGCACCUGAAGUUGCCUGCAAACUGUUAGUGUAAUUGCUUGAGUAAGAAUUGGAGUUCGAUGGGGUUUCUGUCCAAGUGAAGCUGCCGUUGUAUUCAAGGUGUCGAGGGUUCAAUUGGAUGAUUACUAGAAGACUUGUGUGCUUUGUGUUCUCGAACUGAUGGUGGUAGAAGUGAACAGCUGCAAAGAAGAUGGAUACGCAGAGUUAUCGGCAAUCGUUAGCAGCCAAUGGGUGGAGAGACAGGUUGAACUAAAAUUGUGCCGGAGUAAUGAAUGGCAGUGGAUUCUCUAUAAUGGUUUGGUUGUUUUGGGAUCAAGGGUUAGUGGUUGAGUUUUGCAGUUGAUGGAGGAUGAUUGCAAUCGGCAGUGGAGAAUGGUCUAUAUCACACGCUGGUGGGUUGCUGUUCUAAAUGGGUUCUUUAUAGAGCUCGGUUCUGAGAUGGACUUUGUGUGGUGGAUGAGAGCUGCAAAGAAGAUGGGUGACGAUAAUUACAGACGAAGAAGCUAAAGUCAGUGGUCGAAAAUGGAUUCAGUUUGAGGAUAAUUGGUUAAGCUUGUGCAACCAGCGAUGAUGAAACUCAGAAGACGAAUAAGAGCUUCGUAUGUUGGCUGAGAUAAGGUGCUGUGAAAGCAGUCAAGAAGGAAUGUUGAUUUGGGUGAUCUUGUGCCGAGAAUUGGUGGGCUUAUGCUCGAGGGAAGUAUGAUGGUGAGAGAAUCAAAAGAAGUUUGUUCGAAUGGAGGAUAGCAGUUGUGUUUACAGACGUGAAUGAGCGAAUUGGAGAUUGACUGCAGCAAUGGGGCGAAAUGGGAGCUGUGUUGUUGUCGAUUCAUGUUGCAGUAGCGAAGGUGGUGAUUGCAGACAGGAAAGAAGAAGCUGGUGCUGGUGAUCGACUGCACGGUAGUGGACUGUGUACGAGAAGGUUAAGCUGGGAAUUCAAAGACAAGGAGCAGGAUUUGUUGCCAUGGGUGUGCAGUCGGUGGUGAGAUGGUUUUGUGAUUGCUAGCUAUGGCACCCGAUUGGUGAUGAAUUUUAGCUGGCCAGCAGUGGAUCGAGCCGGAGUCUUGGCAGUUUGUUAGUGGAGAUAUUCGGUCAGUUAGUUAAAAAGAUCCGGGAGAUAUAUAUAGAAGUUAAAUAUAUGGAUGCAGAGGAGAUCGUGGAGCUAAUUGUUUAUACAUUGAAUGGAAAUUAUUUCUUUUGCUCGGAUAAGGAAAGUAAAUGAUUUCUGGCUUGAUUGUGGAAGCUAAUUGGAGGAGGAGUUACGGACAGUUUCUUUUGGUGUAUUUAGAGAGGAGCGGACUUCUUUGACAGGGAGGGCUGGAAGUCGGCCACAGUGCCGCAACUAGAGAUAGGGUUUGAAGUUUUGCUUAGAAUUCUAUCUUUUGAUUAGCAAGUGAUUUCUCUUUUAACAUGUUUAUGGUUUUUGAGAAAGUCAUGUCUUGCUAAUAGUUUUGUAACUAGGGUUCUUAUGGUUGAAGCUACUUGUGGUUUUAGGCUAUUUUUAAUUGAAUUGAAUUAUGAAGUAAUAGACCAUUAUGAUUUGAAUUGAUUAAUU